UAGCCAUGCGAGUCGAGAGGGUUCGGCCCUCGGCGAACUGCUCAGUAACACGCUGGNAUAAUCUAACCUUAGGUGGAGCAUAACCUCGGGAAACUGAGAAUAAUACUCCAUAGAUCUUUGAGGCUGGAAUGCGCUUAGAUUGAAAGCUUCGGCGCCUAAGGAUGAGUCUGCGGACUAUCAGGUAGUAGUCAGGGUAAAGACCUGACUAGCCUACGACGGAUACGGGUUGUGAGAGCAAUAACCCGGAGAUGAUAUCUGAGACACGAUAUCAGGCCCUACGGGGCGCAGCAGGCGCGAAAACUUCACAAUGCGCGAAAGCGCGAUGAGGGGAUCCCAAGUGCUUGCACGUAAGUGUAAGCUGUUUUUCUGUCUAAAAAGCAGAGAGAGUAAGGGCUGGGUAAGACGGGUGCCAGCCGCCGCGGUAAUACCUGCAGCUCAAGUGGUGGCCGCUAUUAUUGGGCCUAAAACGUCCGUAGCCGGCUGAGUAAAUGCCUGGGUAAAUCGUGUGGCUUAACCAUACGAAUUCCGGGUAGACUGCUCAGCUUGGGACCGGAAGAAGUUAGAGGUACUCCUGGGGUAGGGGUGAAAUCCUGUAAUCCUGGGGGGACCACCAGUGGCGAAGGCGUCUAACUAGGACGGGUCUGACGGUGAGGGACGAANCCCUGGGGCGCAAACCGGAUUANAUACCCGGGUAGUCCAGGGUGUAAACGCUGCUUGCUUGAUGUUAGCUGGGCUCCNAGCUCGGCUAGU
This 750-nucleotide ribosomal RNA is filed under the name uncultured archaeon. Its description in RNAcentral is "bacterial SSU rRNA". It matches the Rfam family "Archaeal small subunit ribosomal RNA", at positions 46 to 799 of the family's 1478-position model. The record is from RNAcentral.